RNAcentral lists this non-coding RNA (24 nucleotides) under Arabidopsis thaliana (thale cress). Lineage: Eukaryota; Viridiplantae; Streptophyta; Magnoliopsida; Brassicales; Brassicaceae. The record is from RNAcentral.
UCAACCAAGUUCAAGAAUGUUGAA